CCGCACUGCUAGCCAACACAAGCACGGGCGCUCGUUCGUAAAGUUGUUGUCUUGUCAACUUGCUGCGCAAAAAGUUGCUCUGCAGGUCAAACGGCUGUCGUCGUCCUUAACCAAUAGAGAUAGUACACGUGUUUACGGAGUAAAAAGCUUUGCGUUGAAAUUAUCAGUGUGUUGCUUUUUCUUCAAGUUGACUCUUUUCAUGUCUCUGCAUUUGGGAAUUGGGAUCGACGUUUUGCUGUGGGAGUUUGAGGUGAAAUGACGAUCCAUUUAUUGCGGUUCUCUGGCAAAAUCUAUAGAAAAAUUUUACUGUCAUGUCUGCCCCAACGUACUUCUUUUCUUUCGCACUGAACAACAAGGCAGGACACUUUAUACGAGUUGAGCAGAACAGAGCUAAAUGGAAUAUGAAAUAUGCGACACCGUCGACCCUUUUUACAUGGGCAUCCAUUCAAUUUCCUGCCAUUCAAACCUCACAGAACUAUCGUUUAUGGUACCAUAUAUUUUUAUGAUACUAUGGCCACACAUUUCAUAAGAAAUUCUUUAUAAGCCCUAUUGACUGAAAGUUCAAGAAUGUCAGCCCUCGAGAUGGAACUUUUGAAGAUGUAAAAUCUAGUAUAAGAAGCCAGGACUAGUAGUAGUUUAUACAAUAUUUCCUCUUUUUUAA
Carya illinoinensis is the source of this 661-nucleotide long non-coding RNA. RefSeq lists it as uncharacterized. The transcript is spliced from 2 exons. The record is from RefSeq and is a predicted model, not a curated record. NCBI's taxonomy places the organism in Eukaryota, Viridiplantae, Streptophyta, Magnoliopsida, Fagales, Juglandaceae.